Long non-coding RNA from Erinaceus europaeus (western European hedgehog), 917 nucleotides. RefSeq lists it as uncharacterized. The transcript has 3 exons. NCBI's taxonomy places the organism in Eukaryota, Metazoa, Chordata, Mammalia, Eulipotyphla, Erinaceidae. The record is from RefSeq and is a predicted model, not a curated record.
UUCAAGGAAGUCUGGAUGAGUCUGAAGCCACCAGCCCCAACACCAGUCACAAUGAUGAAGAAUUUCCUGUCUCCAAGCUGAGAACCUCUGGGCUUACUGGCCCUAAGGUGGCUUUCCUUACCUUGUAAGUCAACUUGACUUGCCUUUUCUUUUAAGUAAUGUCAUGUAAGAGGUUUCCCAACAGAACAGAAGAGCUCUGGGUCUGCGGGACUGGCCCUAGCACAGCUACUAAAGUGCCACUAAAGAAGUCAGGAACAAGGUCACCUAAGGAAGAAUCAUGUUCAACCUUGCUUAUCUUGUGAAGAAAAUGCACGAAGCCUGCAAUAGGCAAGGACAAAAAGCAGCAUCUUUUGAUGAACUAGAGACAUAUGGUUGUUACCAAGUAGAGAAGAGUGCUACCAGGUUCCUUGUUACCCUGGAAAAGGCCGCUUUGCUGUCCACUGGGCAUUAUCCACAUCUUUGAAUCUCUGGGUGCCUUUUCCAAAGGCCUUUUCUCUUUUAAGAGAACAUUCCAGAGCACUAGAAGUGGUGACUUUAAACUCUUCACCCCUUUAAUUAUGGAAAGAAUGGAUUUCAGAGAAGAAUAUAAGUGUCUUCUGACAGAGUCUUCAGUCCAACCUGCUCUUACAGGAUGACUCACUUCACAGUGGCUGGCUUUUAACGUGGCAUUGAGUGGGACUGUUUCUAAUUGACUGAUCUUGAAUUACAUGGAUGGAUCUUUAAAAAUAUAUAGCAGAAUGGGUUCUGUUUAUUUUUAGUGGGUUUCUCCCAGAAAGUCUCUCUGCAUGUUUCCCUGACUGUAUACCAAUCACAUAUGGGAAGCAAAGAGAAGUGUGGUUCUCUAAGGAGAGCAUGCAAAUGACGUUUGAAAAGGUUCCUUCCCAUCCUUUCUUUCCCAGCACUGAUUUGUGUUUAGG